RNAcentral lists this long non-coding RNA (209 nucleotides) under Olea europaea (common olive). RNAcentral's name for it is "long non-coding RNA (OEUR_LNC009207)". Lineage: Eukaryota; Viridiplantae; Streptophyta; Magnoliopsida; Lamiales; Oleaceae. The record is from RNAcentral.
CUCCCAUAACUUUCCCCCAACACUCAGUGACAUCCUGAUGACCCACUCGAGCAUAUAUGCCGGAAGCACGUACUCGUUACCUAGUAGCUGGAGCGACUGAUACUCAAUGGUAAUAGCACGGAAGAACUCGGUGUUCAGUAUUAUGCGGCCAGGCUUGUGGAAUGAUUAUGAAUAUUUCUCAACUCGAUCGCGCAACAAGUCCAUGACCA